RNAcentral lists this transfer RNA (70 nucleotides) under Marmota monax (woodchuck). RNAcentral describes it as "tRNA.Ala". Lineage: Eukaryota; Metazoa; Chordata; Mammalia; Rodentia; Sciuridae. The record is from RNAcentral.
GGGCUGGGGCUCAGUGGUAGAGUGCUUGCCUAGCACGUGUGAGGCACUGGGUUCGAUCCUCAGCACCACA